This 1248-nucleotide long non-coding RNA is filed under the name Anser brachyrhynchus (Pink-footed goose). Its description in RNAcentral is "lncRNA (ENSABRG00000002756.1)". The record is from RNAcentral. Lineage: Eukaryota; Metazoa; Chordata; Aves; Anseriformes; Anatidae.
AUGAAUACCAAAUCACAUGCCCAAAUGCACCCUUCCCCAAAAUUAUACAUACCGGGCCAAAGCGAAACAGCCCAGGUGCUGUCUAAAACCUCUGUGUGGCGUUUCCUACCUGACAGGCACCUCUCAAGGCCUAGCGCCAGCAGAAGGCCGGCAGCAGGCCUUCUGCCACUGACCACAGGCCUAACUGCACGCUUGGCUCAACAAAUUGACACAAAGACAUACUUCAAUGGCACCUGGGACCUUAAAAACAACCCCAUUUCCAUUCUAGCCUUGGCAGUUGAGAUGCAGAGGGAUGGAGAGAGAGACUCAUCGGUUGGAAAUCAAAACUCGGUCAACAAUCUCAAGCACAUACAAGAACACAGAGGUAAGUAUAAUAAGGACACAAACUUGGGGACGAGCUAAACAAAAUCCUAUAUACGUAUAUUUAUAUACAUACACUGUAUAGGUACAAACGCAUGCCUGCACAUAGUAACCAUAGCACCUCAUCUGCACGUGGGUCAGCAGGCACACCAAAACCAGGCACCCCGAGGAAGCACAGCCCACAAGCACCCUCAGCUGCAGAGGCUUCUCCCUACCCCACAGGCUCGCUGGGGUGCCCUGACCAGCCCCGGGUUCUCCACUUCUGCCCAGGCAUGUCAUCCACCCAGGACGCAGACAGAAGCCGUGUUUAUCUAGCUGUGUUCCUCUGCCCCAGGUCCCAAACUCAUCCCUAACAAACGAAUGUCACUCAGUGCAGCAGCAGCAACAUCCAAACCCACCAAGAGAGCUGACUCGUGUAUGUUACCACCAGGAGCCACGCCACUGUAACACUUGUGGAGCACCAGGACAAGACAUCCCGCUGCAUCCAUCCACCCAGAGCCCCGCAGGCAGCUCUUCUGCUCCCGUGCCAGCGGCUGUCUUCAUUUUACAUUGGGGAAUUAGUUUCUUUUUUUCCCGAUUUUAUGUGAAAAGGGAUUAAAGUAAUUAGAAGCUUUGCGUGAUUCCUUCUCCCAUCCACCCCCCCUCCAUUAAUCAGAUCUAUUCAAUUUCUACCCAAGCCAGAUAAAGAGGGAGAGGAGGAGGAGAAACGUUCAAAACAUUUGGAGGAAUUUGACAUUUGUUACAGAAGGCCGGGUGACCUCAGAGGCAGAAAUACAGCAGAGAUACAAACAAAUCUAUUGUAUAUAAUGUCAUCGUGACAAAUAAGAACAUUAAAAAAGAUGGGAUAAUCUUCCUAUCAGAUGAGAAUAAAGCAACAGUAAGAAGGCA